AAAAUUGUUUCCUCUUGGUCCUUGGUUCUCAAUCUCAAACAGCUUUCUUCGCGGGCAAAGUUUCGCAAAUAAACGAAAAAUUGUGUCGAUCUCGCAAUCAAUCUGGUUGAUGCCCGAUUGUCUCCGUCACUCACUUUCUUCAAGUACAAUCUCUCUCUAUAUCUCAUUCUGUGAUGGGAUUUAAUGGUAUUGUUAGCCACUUGCAAAUCGCUGUUGGAUUGGUGUUGGGAUUUUAGAAUUGCAUGCCAUUUGAUGUUAAUUCUGAUUUUGGAAAGAAUUUGUAUUAUGCCCAUGAAUUUAUUCUUGCAACCAUCAUUUUUAUGCUUGCGAAUUGCUGAGGAGAAGGAUUUUACUUGUGAUGAUUCAGAGUAUAAUUGUAUAGAUUGGUUUGGUGAAUUUUGCAGUAUGGAGGAGCAGUUCAUACUAAGAGUCCCGCCUUCUGUUGCAGAGCGUUUAGAUCGUCUUUUGAGUGAAAAUACUCCUUCUGACGAAGAUCAAUCAUUGGAUUUGUCUUUUUCUGGUGAGAUUACACUUCUUUCCUUGCAUUGCAUUGCAUUUGGGAAGUUUUAACAUUUUGAUAUUGACAUGAAUACCAUGGGGUUUUAAUUUGUUUAUCUGUUUUCUCUUAUUAUUCUAUUGGAUGCUGCUUUUGCUCUUUGUAUUUGUAAGAUUAUUAUUCCCAAGUCAAAAUAAUUGGAGUUGUUUGCAUUAAUUAUUUUCUGCAUUUCAGCAUGUAUUGGGUUGAGGGGGUACUGUUAUACACUCAAUUCAAUCGAUAGUGAUGUUGGCUUUCUUCCUUUGAUCUAUUUUACAGGUUUGAUUUUGUUGUGUUUUAUUUUAUUUUAUUUUCUUUCAUGCUUCUGGAAGUGAGGUAUGUAAAUAGAGUUCUAUUUCUUGUAUGCAUUUUUUUUUUAUAGUACAGAAGCUUUAAAGGACAUGUUUCCUUCCUAGUUUUCCAUUCUAGAAAAUAAUUAUUUGAGAAUACUAGUUACAUUGGGUACUCAAGGACUCGGUUACAUUUGACUAUGUGGUUUUCAUGUUCUAUUCAAUAAAAGGACUAGGGAGUUAAGCUUUAAGAGAUGAUUUUUUAAAUUCUGGACCACAAGAUUGUGAACCCAAGGAAACAUUACGAAUUAUGGCUACACAGAGAUUAUAUUUGAUGAUGCGCUGUUCUUAAAGAAUAUUAUAAUGUGAUUUGCUUGAGCAAAAUGUUUAGUGAUACUGCUCUCACUAGCUUUCUUUUCUAUCAUACAUUUAAUGGAUGCUGAAAUGAGGUGUUCUUUGUGUUGUGUCAUUGAUGGAAGGUGAAAAGAGGCGUUGCCCGUAUUAGAUAUACUGGCAUUUGCGAUAAGUCUGCAGGGGACGUUGAUUGUUCUUAUAUAGGGACCAAGAGAUUUCUGGGUGCAAUUCUCUCUUGUUUGAAGCUCAAUUUGUGGUCCAAAUAAUUUGCUAGUUAUAUUUGUACUCUUUCCAAAACAACCAACAGGGGGGAAAAAUAAAAUACUGUUCAUGUUUGAUAGAACCUCAUUGCCAUUGCUACAGGAUUGCGUAUAUUCUGCAAGUGCAAGAAUAUAAAAAGCUAUGCUUCAAGGUUACAUGAUUUGUUGUUCAAAAAAAGAUUACAUGAUUUGAUGAUUGUUUUACUUAAUUGCUUUGGAAACCAUUGGAUGGAAGUUUUAGACAGUUUAAACCUUUCUUUAGUAGCUUAUAGACCAAACAAAUCAGUACAAAGGUCUAUUUAGCUAUUUUCUAAUUAAGCAUUAUAUAAAUCAUUUUCAUAAAAAAAAGUAGUACACAUUUUACUUGAAAGAUCUGCAUCUAACUUCCCUUAGGUGUGUGCUUGUGCUUUGUCCCUAAUGCCUUGUGGUCUUUGGCACUUAAGUGUGCUACUACCAAAAGCUUAGCCUUGGCAAAUUAUAAUUUGCCCACUUCAUCUAUAUCAAACCUAAAGAAAUAACUUUGUGAACAAUGUAACCAAUUCUAUAGAACUUCUGUCUGGAUUACAAUUACUCUGAACAUUUGGCAUUUCCAAAUUUACACUUUCAUUGACCUCAUUUUGCUCAUUGACCUCAUUUUGCCCAUUGACUUCAUUUUGCUUGCUACAUUCUCUGUAAGAAGCUUGUUGCUAAAAAGGACUAAGGUUGAAAAAAUAGCUCUCAGGAGUUCACUAGGAAUAACAGGUGACAUUUGUCAAAAUUAACUCUGCAUGAGGCUGUAGCAAAAGGAGGGAAAACUACUGAUUGUUGCGUUGCGGUGAAACUUGAAAGAGAUUUUAAAGACACCAGUUUCAUGUGCUGUUAUGGGUUCGGCUUGUUUUUUGUGUGGCCUUCCAGUCUCUUAUUUGCCAUGCGCCCAUGUAUAGUCUUGAAUGUAAAUAUCUUUCUGUGCAGAAGAUGGCAGGAGUGGCACAUUUGUCAUUGGCAAUGACCAUUUUCCUGCUUCUCUCUUGGAUCUUCCUUGUGUUGUGGAGUCCUACAAAACUUAUGAUGACUGUGCGCUAGUCAAAACUGCAGAUGUUGGUCAGAUGAUUAUGGUUAGAGAAGCAGGUGACAUUGCUCCAGAUGUAGUGGAGUACAGACAUGGACUCACUCCUCCUAUGAGGGAUGCUCGAAAACGAAGAUUUCGCAGGGAGCCAGACCUAAAUCCUGAGCUUGUCCAGCGUGUGGAGAAAGAUCUGCUGAACAUUAUGGCUGGUGGAACAGUUGAAAAUGCUGAUAUCCUUUUUUUAUUGUUCUCACCUUUAUUGUUAAAUCCCAGAGGUUCUGAUAUUCCAUAUUUAGCUCUCAGUAGUUGGUGCUUUUUGGUGACAUAGCAUAUAUCAUUUAGAAAAAAGGGGAAGAGAGAGAGAAGCACAAGGGACUGAGAAUGUAGCACAUUGAAACUGGGUUUGGUUGGGUUCCCGCCUUCCCUGUUACUUGAACAUCUAGAUAACCAACUUGAGCAUAUCUGCUUAUGUAUGGAAUGGCACCGGUAUUCAUUGGAAACUGAAUUUGAUUUGGAAAAUAUCUCAAAUUUUCUUAAUAGUGAAACCUCCUACCAUUGCCUUAAUAUGAAGCUAAUCGACAAUGCAAUAUAAGAGGCUUGUGUGAUGGAGAAUCUCUAGUAGAACAAGGUCCUGCAUCAUUGUGUUUAAGAUUUCAACCUCUUUUAUACUUUAUGUUUUGAUGGGAUUUUGUGGUUGUUCAUUUUAUCCUCAGUUUAAUCCUUAAUAGUAUGGAUACAUGUUGAAGUGAAUGAGCAAGAGGAAGAUGUUGAGCAGAAUGCCCGUAAAGCAAGUAAGAAAACUUCACCUGCACCUGCAGCAAAGCCUGAUGUUCAAGAGGCAGUAGCUAAUGCUGAGGAGCCUGAGAGAAGUGAUUCUGAUGAAUCAGACGAUUCAAUAUGAUAAAAAUGCCUUACAUUCAACUUGUUACAUUUACAAUGGUGGAUGGUCAUCUGAGUUGGAAAUGAGGGUAUGAUCUCUGUCCUAUGUAUAAGUUAUAGAUUCCUUUUGUUCUGUGCAAAUAUUGAAACACAAUGAGAAUUUGUAACCUUAGGGUAAGGAUGUGGGCUAGCAACUGUUGUUAUUGGUGUAUUAUCAGAUCAUAGUAAUGGAACUUUAGCGGUCACUUGUUUAAAAGAGAACUGAGCUGUAUUCUUUCACUGAAGAAAAUCAAUACAAUGUCUAUCUUCUUUAAUCUUUCUCCUUCUGCACCAUAUUUCUCUUCUACUCUCUUCCCUCUGUGGUCUCAUCUCUCCCUCUUUCUCUCUUACUUUCCCUCUCUUUCUCACUUUCCAAACACCCUUGUUAAGCCUCAACAAGCACAUGGCUUAACAGGAAUGUUCUGAUCUCUGCUGAAAGUUAUCUUGCACUGCAGGCUAUAUAGCAUUAUGGAAGGUACACCAACAUUGGAAUGAACAUGCUCAAAAUUGUUAAGUUUGGAAGUGCAAAACAUGUAUCUUGUUGCGGAAUAUGUUGUCUGGGACUCGGAGGGAGACUCGUUAUGGUCUAUUUUCAGGGCUGGGGGAUCAUAAUUGGUUGGGCGGUCCCUUCUAAUUCUGUCCAAUUUUUGAUCAAAUAUAACGAUUAAAAUUUUUAAAUUUUUUUAGAAGGGAAUUUUUUUAUUUUAUUUUAGUGCG
This 4119-nucleotide unclassified non-coding RNA is filed under the name Hevea brasiliensis (rubber tree). The record is from RNAcentral. Lineage: Eukaryota; Viridiplantae; Streptophyta; Magnoliopsida; Malpighiales; Euphorbiaceae.